GCCAGACUCCUACGGGAGGCAGCAGUGGGGAAUAUUGCACAAUGGGGGAAACCCUGAUGCAGCGACGCCGCGUGAGUGAAGAAGUAUUUCGGUAUGUAAAGCUCUAUCAGCAGGGAAGAAAAUGACGGUACCUGAUUAAGAAGCCCCGGCUAACUACGUGCCAGCAGCCGCGGUAAUACGUAGGGGGCAAGCGUUAUCCGGAUUUACUGGGUGUAAAGGGAGCGUAGACGGUGAUGCAAGUCAGAAGUGAAAGGCCGGGGCUCAACUCCGGGACUGCUUUUGAAACUGUGUGAUUGGAGUGCAGGAGAGGUAAGCGGAAUUCCUGGUGUAGCGGUGAAAUGCGUAGAUAUCAGGAGGAACACCAGUGGCGAAGGCGGCUUACUGGACUGUAACUGACGUUGAGGCUCGAAAGCGUGGGGAGCAAACAGGAUUAGAUACCCCCGUACCC
RNAcentral lists this ribosomal RNA (448 nucleotides) under uncultured bacterium. RNAcentral describes it as "bacterial SSU rRNA". It matches the Rfam family "Bacterial small subunit ribosomal RNA", at positions 330 to 795 of the family's 1533-position model. The record is from RNAcentral.